RNAcentral lists this ribosomal RNA (388 nucleotides) under uncultured Desulfuromonadales bacterium. RNAcentral's name for it is "bacterial SSU rRNA". It matches the Rfam family "Bacterial small subunit ribosomal RNA", at positions 336 to 713 of the family's 1533-position model. The record is from RNAcentral. Lineage: Bacteria; Pseudomonadati; Thermodesulfobacteriota; Desulfuromonadia; Desulfuromonadales.
UUCCUACGGGAGGCAGCAGUGGGGAAUUUUGCGCAAUGGGGGAAACCCUGACGCAGCAACGCCGCGUGAGUGAUGAAGGCCCUUGGGUCGUAAAGCUCUGACAGAGGGAAAGAAAUGCAUGGUGGCUAAUAUCCACUGAUGCUUGACGGUACCCUCAAAGGAAGCACCCGGCUAACUCCGUGCCAGCAGCCGCGGUAAUACGGAGGGUGCGAGCGUUGUUCGGAUUUAUUGGGCGUAAAGCGCGUGUAGGCGGUUUUAUAAGUCUGAUGUGAAAGCCCCCGGCUCAACCGGGGAAGUGCAUUGGAUACUGUAAGGCUUGAGUACGGGAGAGGGCAGUGGAAUUCCCAGUGUAGGGGUGAAAUCCGUAGAUAUUAGGAGGAACACCAGU